AUGAUGAAACAGUGCCUGAGAACACAGAAGGGUGGGAUGUCACAGCAAGCACUGCUACCCCAGCACUCUAAAAGGAUAGUGCAGCUUCCCUGCAACUGGGGCUCUAAAGCAGGAAAAAGCAAUAUGGAAAAUGAAGGCUGUCAAAAAAGCCUGUUUCGGGCUUUUGCCACUGAAGCACGAUGGGGUCUGUGGAAAAAGCAGCAAAGCUUGUGUCUCCAAUGGAGCCCCAGUAUAGGCAGUGACAGCUCAAUCCCAAUUAUAUCACGUGAGUCUGAAAACUAGUAAGUUUUCUGCCUCAACAGUGGGAGGCAAGUUCACAGCAUUUCCAUUCCAAGAUGCUUGGAGAAUUGAAGCAUACAAAUAGAGAAAAUCUGCAAAGUGUUGUCAGGUAUUAUUUAUGUAUUAUUAUUUUUGUUGGAA
Molecule: long non-coding RNA, 420 nt
Filed under: Ficedula albicollis (Collared flycatcher)
Lineage: Eukaryota; Metazoa; Chordata; Aves; Passeriformes; Muscicapidae
Description: lncRNA (ENSFALG00000028196.1)
Source: RNAcentral